Molecule: non-coding RNA, 904 nt
Organism: Anas platyrhynchos (mallard)
Lineage: Eukaryota; Metazoa; Chordata; Aves; Anseriformes; Anatidae
Source: RefSeq, a predicted model, not a curated record
AGCACACAGCUACAGAUGAGGCACUGCAGCAAUUGUUGGUAGCAUACUGGCCAAAAUCAGAAGGGUCAUACAUAGGUAUACCUAUGAGGCAAGUCCUGAACGGAUCCGUGGACAAUGCCAUGGACAGACAAAAUUCUGAUAUACCAGUCUAAUUAGCCCAUGUCACCCACAGAUUUCGUCGCGGCUCAAUCUUGGUCACGAGCACAAGCACUGCUGGAGGUAUUAGAAUCACCAUCAGUAACUUCCCCAUCCCUUGAGACAUCUUGGGCGGCCUUCACAAAUUGGCUUGGCACCCAAACUGGUCCUGCUCAGCAUACUGACCUAUGGACUGUUAGCUCAAACCCCACCCUUGGAAGCCCUGAUCCAUCCAUUCCGAGCUGGAGGUUGGGUUCUGAUGUGAACAUGGAGAGAAUAGAAGCUGCAACCUGAGUGGGACGGACUGUUCCAAGUGCUCCUGACUACUGAGACGACAGUAAGAACGGCUGAGAAAGGGUGGACUCAUUCCUGGGUAAAAGCAUCAGUUAACCCUGAUACCAGAGAGACUGCCUUAACAAAGACUUCUAAGGUUAAAACUGUUGAAACUAUCUAUGUAAACCUUUAACUUCUCCUUAGAAGAAUUCUUAAUGAAUUAAUGAGUAAAAGGGAUUGAAUUACACAGAAUUGGAGUGUUUACAGGGAACACUCCCUGGAAGUGGGAGAAAAAGAAAGGGGGCUAUUUAAUCCCCACCAGAAGAAUCCUUAUCAGUUUGUGAUUUUUAUUGUUUUUUCUUAAUUAUUAUUUCUUAAUUAUUACAGGGAUGUAUAUACAAAUAUACAUGUACUUGUGUUUUAAGUUUAUCUUAGGAAUACCUGUUCUCAAUGGAUUAUUGAUAGGAUGGAGGGAAAAAUCAGUAUUUCCAAUUAA